CACCUGCAAGCGCUGAAUUCUGUAAGGAAGCGGGGGACCCGCCGUUCUUGGGGUGAACCUCAUGGGCCUUGAGGGGGGAGACUCUUUCUUCCUAACCCGUCAGCUAAUUCCGCAAGCGUGAAAGAGGGGUGGU
RNAcentral lists this small RNA (133 nucleotides) under Caldibacillus debilis. Its description in RNAcentral is "c-di-AMP sequence". It matches the Rfam family "c-di-AMP riboswitch aptamer (ydaO/yuaA leader)". From Rfam's summary of the family: This family represents a conserved RNA structure found upstream of the ydaO and yuaA genes in Bacillus subtilis and related genes in other bacteria. The ydaO/yuaA element is thought to act as a genetic "off" switch for the ydaO and yuaA genes in its native state. It is believed that the element may be triggered during osmotic shock leading to activation of ydaO, a predicted amino acid transporter gene, and members of the yuaA-yubG operon which code for KtrA and KtrB K+ transporters. The record is from RNAcentral. Lineage: Bacteria; Bacillati; Bacillota; Bacilli; Caryophanales; Bacillaceae.